CCGAGUCUUAAUUGGGCGUUAAGUUGCAGGGUAUAGACCCGAAACCCGGUGAUCUAGCCAUGGGCAGGUUGAAGGUUGGGUAACACUAACUGGAGGACCGAACCGACUAAUGUUGAAAAAUUAGCGGAUGACCUGUGGCUGGGGGUGAAAGGCCAAUCAAACCGGGAGAUAGCUGGUUCUCCCCGAAAGCUAUUUAGGUAGCGCCUCGUGAAUUCAUCUCCGGGGGUAGAGCACUGUUUCGGCUAGGGGGCCAUCCCGGCUUACCAACCCGAUGCAAACUGCGAAUACCGGAGAAUGUUAUCACGGGAGACACACGGCGGGUGCUAACGUCCGUCGUGAAGAGGGAAACAACCCAGACCGCCAGCUAAGGUCCCAAAGUCAUGGUUAAGUGGGAAACGAUGUGGGAAGGCCCAGACAGCCAGGAUGUUGGCUUAGAAGCAGCCAUCAUUUAAAGAAAGCGUAAUAGCUCACUGGUCGAGUCGGCCUGCGCGGAAGAUGUAACGGGGCUAAACCAUGCACCGAAGCUGCGGCAGCGACGCUGAUGCGUUGUUGGGUAGGGGAGCGUUCUGUAAGCCUGCGAAGGUGGCCUGUGAGGGUUGCUGGAGGUAUCAGAAGUGCGAAUGCUGACAUAAGUAACGAUAAAGCGGGUGAAAAGCCCGCUCGCCGGAAGACCAAGGGUUCCUGUCCAACGUUAAUCGGGGCAGGGUGAGUCGACCCCUAAGGCGAGGCCGAAAGGCGUAGUCGAUGGGAAACGGGUUAAUAUUCCCGUACUUGGUGUUACUGCGAAGGGGGGACGGAGAAGGCUAUGUUGGCCGGGCGACGGUUGUCCCGGUUUAAGCGUGUAGGUGUGUGUUCCAGGUAAAUCCGGUU
Molecule: ribosomal RNA, 870 nt
Filed under: Salmonella enterica subsp. enterica serovar Brandenburg
Lineage: Bacteria; Pseudomonadati; Pseudomonadota; Gammaproteobacteria; Enterobacterales; Enterobacteriaceae
Description: partial 23S ribosomal RNA
Rfam family: Bacterial large subunit ribosomal RNA
Source: RNAcentral